Molecule: ribosomal RNA, 492 nt
Filed under: uncultured bacterium
Lineage: Bacteria
Description: partial 16S ribosomal RNA
Rfam family: Bacterial small subunit ribosomal RNA
Source: RNAcentral
AGUGAACGCUGGCGGUAGGCCUAACACAUGCAAGUCGAACGGCAGCACAGUAAGAGCUUGCUCUUACGGGUGGCGAGUGGCGGACGGGUGAGGAAUACAUCGGAAUCUACUUUUUCGUGGGGGAUAACGUAGGGAAACUUACGCUAAUACCGCAUACGACCUACGGGUGAAAGCAGGGGAUCUUCGGACCUUGCGCGAUUGAAUGAGCCGAUGUCGGAUUAGCUAGUUGGCGGGGUAAAGGCCCACCAAGGUGACGAUCCGUAGCUGGUCUGAGAGGAUGGUCAGCCACACUGGAACUGAGACACGGUCCAGACUCCUACGGGAGGCAGCAGUGGGGAAUAUUGGACAAUGGGCGCAAGCCUGAUCCAGCCAUACCGCGUGGGUGAAGAAGGCCUUCGGGUUGUAAAGCCCUUUUGUUGGGAAAGAAAAGCAGCAGGUUAAUACCCCGCUGUUCUGACGGUACCCAAAGAAUAAGCACCGGCUAACUUCGUG